AUAUCAAACCAUCCUACGAGGAACGUUUUAGUUGCAAGAAAAGUCCGGCCUAUGCAGACGUCUUUUUUGUCGCGUGUUUUUUUACGCUUCGCAAAAAAAGUUGUGCCAACUUCAAGUUCAGAGCUCCUGCUGGAAAUAUCCACAAAACCAAAACCAAUUUCCCCCCGCGUUGCCUCUUUUUACAAGAGUGGGCGCUUUCAAAAUUCUUCAGAGAGGUGUGUAGAAAUGCGUUCAGUCACAAAUUGGACUUGUCGCAUUAUUGAUAUAUAAUAUUUCUAAAUAACUAUAUUCAUUCUCUAAUGCGCUCCUAGGCUGUAGAAUAAAUCGUCCAUACAUAGUGAAAAAAAAGGCAAAAGCGAGUCCCCAAGGAGCGGUUUUGCGUUUGUAUGCAUGGGGAUUGGCAACACAACGGGGCUUAUUUACAUUAAAUUACGCCACAAGGUUACAGUGCAGAUAGAUGAGCGUCAUUUUUAUCACUCAUUACUUCUCUUAAGCGGUGAUGACGCUCAGGACGCACAGGAGGCACCACUCAUUUAUCCUGGAGUUUUUUUUUUUAAAGGCGAGGAGAAGAGGAAAAAGACUCGAAACAGUUCACUUAAAAGGCUCUUGUCGUCCCACCUUCUGUGGAGCUGUCGGCGCUCUUCCUGACAUCCGGCAUUCGUUCGUGCGGCGGCAGUCACACAGGGCUCCCUGAUCCGUGCCGACCAGAAGCGGAGCUGAAGCUGAAGCUGGCUUAACGGGGCUAAGCACACUGUCACGCUGUCUGAGAAACCACCCCCACCCACCGUCUGAGGUGGUCAUUCCAGUAAGCAGUAGUCAGUCAGGAGUGACAGUGAGAGGCCACUUGAUCCUAACAAACAGCUUGCACUCCAGUAUGCUGUUGGUGUGUUAAGGAUGGAGGACUCUAGUUUGUGCCUUGGUGUGUCGUCAGCGGUGCCUGAUGCUGAUGCCCAUCUGAGCAGUGCAGUGCUAAAUGGCCGCUACCCUAUCAGUCAAAAGCUUCACCAGCUUACUGCCCAGCUAGGACACGCCUUUCCUGACCUACACCGCCCUCAACCAAUCCCCGAAGAGAAAGCAGCCACACCUUUAGAUGAGAAGACCCACCACGCAGCCCUGGCCAGUCAACCUAUUAGCAGUCAGAUGGCACUGUUAGCCAAUCAGCUUAACCGAGACAUUGAUGCUGGAGCACUAAGUGGGUUGAAUGGUCGCGUUGACCUGCAGCAGUUUCUCAAUGGCCAAAAUCUGGGCAUCAUGUCCCAGAUGAAUGAUAUUGAAGACGAUGCCCGCAAGAACAGGAAGUAUCCGUGUCCACUGUGUGGCAAACGCUUUCGUUUUAACAGCAUACUGUCACUGCAUAUGCGCACUCAUACAGGAGAAAAGCCCUUCAAGUGUCCCUAUUGUGACCAUCGAGCAGCUCAAAAGGGCAAUCUAAAGAUCCAUCUCCGCACCCACAAGUUGGGGAACCUAGGUAAGGGCCGUGGCCGUGUCCGAGAAGAGAACAGGCUGCUGCAUGAGCUAGAGGAGAGGGCCAUCCUUAGGGACAAGCAGAUGAGAGGGAGUGGAAGUAUACUCCAGACAACUCCAACACCCCAUCUGGGCCUCAACAGCAGCACUAACACCCAUCAGCCGCAACUAGGCUCAGCCUGUGGCCUUCUUCCCCCAUCAGGCCUUGGCACUCCAGAAACAAUUUCCCAGCCUUCGUCUUCACCCAAGCCAGCUGGCACCCAAGAUGAAGCAUCCCUCAACCCAACCACAGGUUUCCGUUGCACCUUCUGCAAAGGGAAGUUCAAGAAGCGUGAAGAGCUUGACCGCCACAUUCGCAUUCUCCACAAGCCCUACAAAUGUACGCUCUGUGAGUUUGCUGCUUCUCAUGAGGAGGAUCUGAUAAGUCAUGUGGAGAAAGCCCACAUCACAGCUGAGACUACACAGGGGCAGGGUGGUGGUGGUGCUGGUGGCACUCAGAUGGCCACUGAGUUCCGUUGUGAUGUGUGUGGACAAGUGUUCAGCCAAGCCUGGUUCCUCAAGGGCCACAUGCGCAAGCACAAGGACUCAUUUGAACACUGCUGCCAAAUCUGUGGUCGUCGCUUCAAGGAACCCUGGUUUCUCAAGAACCAUAUGAAAGUGCAUCUCAAUAAGCUUGCGAUCAAGAGCAAGCCCCCUCAGCCCAGUGAGCAGGACAUGGCUUCUGUCAACAGCAUGAGCAACCUAGCCCAGGAAGCUCAUGCCAACCUUUAUUCACGCUAUAUCUCCUGUCUACAGGGAGGCUUUCUUUCACCAGACAAGCAGGGCCUCAGUGAGCAGCACCAAAUGCUGGCCAAAGCAGGGAUAGCCAUGAAGGAGAAGGAGAUGUUAGGUAAGCUGCUUGGGCCAAUGGCAGCCGGCAUGGGCCAUGGGCUAGGAGAGAAUGAGAAGCGCUCACUCCUGGGUUGUCUCAACCUUGUACCUCCACUUAAGUCAAGCUGCAUGGAGCGCCUCCAGGCAGCUGCAAAAGUGGCAGAAAUGGAUUCUCUCAAUAGCUAUCAAGCCUGGCAGAUAAUGGCUCGUGGCAUGGCUAUGGACAGAGCGUUCAUGCCAAAGGAGCAACACCAGCACCACAUACCAACUGGCCAGGAAGAUGAGAUGGGUGGUGCUUUAGCUGGAGCAAUGGCAUCCUUCUCAAAAGAGAAACAAGAUUACUCCUUGAUUGCUUCCACUGACAGCUCCAAACAAAAGCAGCUUUCUGAGGCCUUGCAGGGAUCCAAGGUUGCAAGUGGAGCCCUUAUGUCAAUGAAAGAAGAUGGAAGAGGCUUUGAUAGCCACCGUGACUUAAUUUCUCACCAUGGAGGUGGUGACACUCCUGGAGGCCUGGCUGGCUUAGGAAGUCCCAACAUUGACUAUGGUCUUUCCAACCUCAAAGAGAAACCCUCAGAGUGCCCAGAUUGUGGCCGGGUCUUCAGAACCUACCAUCAAAUGGUUGUCCAUUCUCGCAUCCAUGGCAAAGACAGGAGAGGCAUGGAGGAAGCACUCCAACAGCAAGGUCUUGAUGAACGACGCGGAUCAGCCAGUGACCCUGAAUCCCAGUCAAUCAGCCGUUCUACCACCCCAGGGUCAUCCAACGUGACUGAGGAGAGCGGAGCUGGAGGUGGACACUCCCAGACAGGCAGCGUUCAAGAUGACAGCCCACAUCCCUCCUCACCAUCUUCAGAUGUUGGGGAGGACCUGGGGAAGGCAGUAGGGAGCGUGCAGCCGACUUUGCCCCCGCAUCGUGAGCGAAGCCUGGGUACGUCCUCCAAGGAUUGCCCCUACUGUGGCAAGUCCUUCCGCACCUCCCAUCAUCUCAAAGUCCAUCUGCGGAUACACACAGGAGAGAAACCCUACCGGUGCCCUCAUUGUGACUAUGCUGGCACCCAGUCUGCCAGUCUGAAGUACCACCUGGAGCGCCACCACCGUGAGCGUCAAAAUGGUUCCACCACCUCAGGCCAAUCCGCUGGCCACACCCCUUCUUCUGACCACAAAGAAGAACAUGGGAAGACAACCAGCGGAGGCAUCUUUGCCCGCCCAGAUGUCCUCCGUAAUGUAUUUAAGGGCAUGCCCCCCAACCUAGACUUCAGGGCAGGUCCACUGCUGCCACAUCAGUGGGCCUCAGCCGGCAUGAUGUCACCGCAUGACCGAGACCGUGAGCGGGAGCGUGGAGACCGACAUUUUGACUCCUCCUCUGCUGAGAAUAUGAAGACUACAGAUGGUCCAUCAUCCUUGGUCUCAUCAGCAACAGACAGUCCGGCCAGCUUCUCUGACCUCAGCAGGGCCUACCAAAGCAUGAUAGGAAAUGGAGUCCAUUUUCAGGGGUCUCUCCAGGCCUUCAUGGACAACUUUGUUCUCAGCUCCAUGAAGAAGGAUGUUAAGGACAACCAGAGUCCAGUUCAGCUCCAGGCUCAGCGUUACCAUGAUAAUGGUGAGCCCAAAGCCAAGAGGGCUGCUUCUUCUGAGCAAGACAGAGAAGAAAAAGCUGAUGCCAAGGCAAAUCCAGAACCAGGAAAACCCGGUUCCCAAUAUGAACCACUGGAUCUGUCUGUGUCAGUCCGACCUGAGUCUGCUUCUGGCUCCCUCCCUGGCUCCUCAGUCACCAUUCAUGAUAAUGUGGCAUGGCAUGGCUGCCUCUUCUGUUCUUUCUCCACUGCCUCAGUGGAGCUCAUGGCUCUGCACCUCCAGGCCAACCACCUGGGAAAAGCUCAACCGCCGAGGUCAGAUACAGUCAAAGAGCUAGAGUCAUCUCCCACCACCUCCAGCCAUCACUCCAAGACCUCUGGUGUAGCCCUUGACAAAGAUGGAGACAGAAAUGGAGAGAAAGGCCAAGGUGGUUGGAACAACCAUAUGGACCAACCAUAUAACCCUUUCCAGAGCGAUUUCUACAGGCGAUUUGGUGGCUUGUAUGAUGGAUCCCCAAGGACCAACCAGGGUCUCCAAGGGUAUGCACCUUUAGUAGAGCAGGACGACAGCCAAGCGUUUGCAUCUACAGCAGUCAAUGACCAGAUUGGUGAGAGGGGCUCUUGUGGAGAUGCCGAAGAGGACCAGAUAGGAUCAGAUGAUGAAGUAGUAAAGGCACGCAGCAUCAGUGAGACCCCAUCAACAACCCCCAAGAGGCAGUCACACCAGAACAAUUCCGAUGAGGAAGAAGAAGAAGAGAGGGGAGGAGGAGUGGCUGAAGAGGAGGAGGAGAGGGAUGAGGAUGGACAAAUGGACAUGGAGAGAGAUGAAGCAGGAAGUCCAGCCUCAGACCACCUCCAGAACCACCCCAAACAGCUCCAUGAUGAGUCCUCCCUGCCUCCAAGGAGUGGAGCCAGUUUGGUGGCUUCCUCCUCCGCCAUGGCGCCACUCUCUCUGGCUCCCCAGAACCAAGGUCUGCCAUUGGAAAAGCAAUGGCAGCAGGGCCUGGGCCUCUUGUCUCCCGGAGGUCCUCCAGGACUGUUGAAGGCCGAGCAGCAGACCCACCUAGAGCAGCAGAUGAACAUGCUGUCUGUCCUCAGAGCUUACAGCAAUGACAACCUCCCAGCAUUCAACGGCUUGGGAGGCGGAGCGGGAGGAGCAUCUACAGGGGGCAUGAAGAGGCCAGAUGCAUCCGGCCAGAGACCAUUCAAGUGCAGUUACUGCCCCUACAGCGCCUCCCAGAAGGGUAACCUGAAGACCCACGUGCUGUGCGUCCACCGAAUGCCCUUCGACAACAGCCAGUACCCCGACCGGCGGUUCAAGCGCUCCCGCCCUGAGUCCGAUGGCGUAGAGAAGAGCCAAGACGACAGUCAAAGGACAAAUGGAAGCCACGGGAGUAACAGCAACGUAGAUGGCGUGUCUCGUUAUCACGAGUGAAGCCUUGAGCGGAAUCAACGUUUUAUAAUCAAAAAGUCGGGGUCUGAGUCAGAUUAUGCGUUAUGUCAAAUGCAUUAUGAGAUCUGAACCCGCAAACAGAUGCUCCUGUGUUGAGAUGCACGUGAAUGUUGGUUUUUAUAGGACUAAUUUCCAACUUUACAGGGUGUUGAAGACCCUUACCAAACAACAAGACAAUGAAAAACUACUAGUGGACAAUGCUGUGAAUAGACCACACCUCCUACAGUAUAAACACAAACUAAGCAUACUCUCUGUGUGUUAUUAGAAGUCUGUGAACAUUUACUAAGCAAGCGUAAUAACCUGUGUAUUUGUGCCGAGGUGUUGAUUUAGCAUUUUGUUUUUAACUGAGCACAGUAGAUGAUAAUGUAAGAGUCGUGAGAAAACACAGUUCAAAACUGUUGAUGAAAUUGUACUUUUGAGACAAAUCAUGGAGGAAAGAGGCUGGAAAACAAAAGGGAAACUAGACGAACUAAUCUAAAAUCAUUAGACAGACUUUUUUCCAAAAAUAAUGCUUUUAUCAGAAAAAUGAUCCGUGUAAACGAUUUAGUGGAGCAGUUACUGUAGGGGAAGAUGGAGGAGAGAGAGGAGGGCCUCUGAGUGCAUGCCACCACCACCGCCGCCGCCACCACCCCAGAACAUAACACCAGUGGCUGCCAUUUUCCCAGUGCGAGCGAUGAGUGCUGUAUGCAUGUGUGUGUUGUAAGGUCAGUGGCGGCGAUGGUGGCGUAUGUGUGUCGGGGAUAAGGAAGGGGGAGAGAGGGGGGUGGGGCAUUGGUGCCAGCCUGACUGGAGCUGUCAUCGCAGAGGAAAUCAAUUCAACGACUCACACACACAAACGCAGAAAAACACACACUCCUAGAGUCCUCCAGUGGUAACCCGACCCUGGACAGUACACCAGGGGGUCAAGUUAAGUUCCAUCAGCUGGCCGGAGCCCCUCAAGUCACCUCCUUCUCUCCUCCACUCUCAUUUUCUCUAAUAUAAGUCCAAUCCAGUAGAAUGGCUUGGAAAAUACAACACAAAUCAAUCAGCGGUGUAUUUAAAGCAGCCAUUAGCCGACGUUAAGGCUUGUUCUGCUCUGGUUUUGGCAAUUCAGUGUCUGGAGGUCACCUUACAGGCUCCACGUCAGAGAAGAGCAGGGCGCUUUAACUGACUGUGUCACAUUAUAGUGACAGAUGACAGUGUUGUACUUUGGCAAAGACCUGGACUGAGCAGUGGAUGAUUUUUUUUUUUUUUUGAGGAAAAGAGCAGAUAUAACCAUCUGUGCUCUGUACAAGUUUUAUGGAUCCAGCAAGGAGUUUCAGCAACAUUUAUUAUCAGCUCAGACAAAAAGCAGGACUAUCCUAUUCUCUGAUAAGCGCUUGUGAAGUUACUCUACAGGGUGGGACAUGAUCAGAAAUUCGAUAAUCACUCACUUCAUCCUGCUUCAUGUCUAUAAUUAAUUAUACUACAUUUUCACAGAAAAUAUCAUAAAAGUUUUUAUUAUUAUUAUUUUGAAAGAAAGCAUUGUCUCUCUGUAUAUAAGUAGUGUUGUAUUUUUUAUUCGUAUGGGUGAUAUUCCUAAGGGGUAAAAACAGCAUAAAUCAUUGAAAACAGACUGUUUUGAUCUUGUAAAAAUCAAGCUACAUUGUUGUCAGGGCAGAAAAAAAAGAAAAGUGUAGACUUUGAUUGUACUUUGUUGUGCCAGCGGCUGCUGGUUACUACUAGACGAGGAGAAGAAGAAAGUAUGGUGGUUUGUGUUGUGCCUAUGUUGGUGGUAGGGGGUUAGAAGCUGGGAGUUGUCGAGGGGUGGGUGGGUGGGUUGUUAAUGUUUUUUUGAUAAAGAGAAAUGAUCCGGACUUUAAAAAAGUCAAUAUCUUCCCGCACAAACCCACACAGACGCACACAUACAACAACCACACAUGCAGCAGAGGGGAGGGCUCUUAAACUCUUAAAACCCCAGGGCCUUAGUGCCACAGCUCUGCCUAAAGGAGUUUACAGUUCAACACACACACACACACAUACACACACACACACACACACACACACACACAAGGAAAUGGACACACACAUGCACGUAUGUACACGCAACAAGAACAACAACAGGGAAAUAUAAUCUGUCAUAUACAUGGAGAGGAGGAGUAUGUAAAGAGGAAGGGGCAGCGGAAGUGUUAAAGAAAGAAAGAAAGAAAGAAUGGAAGAAAUAGAAAGAAAGACAUAAGGAAGAAAGAAAGAAACAAAGAAAGAAAGAAACAAACAAACAAAGAAAAAUAAAUUGUCUAUGAUUUGUACUUUAUCGCUACAGUUGGGAUCUUUCUCUUCUUUUUCCUGACACAAAACUAUUUCCAGUGUAAAACAUCAUCUUUAGCCUUGUUUUAUUUUGUAAUUUUUUUAACCAACAGGACGAUAGUUGUCACUGCCUUAAAAAAAUGGAGGUGUUUUUCCCACCAAAUCAAACCCUACAUGCGAUCGGAUCACUUAAUGUAGUAUAUGCUUUAGGUUUUUAAGGCACUACUGUAUUCUUGGUGGCUGUGGCUUGUUUUUCUGGGUGUGUGUAUUCACCUGUGCGUGUGCUAAACAUUUAAGUAUACUAGCAAGAUGUCUGUAAGAACAAAAAAAGUUUCUAAAACAGUACACAUUCCAUUUUUUGGCACCGGUACUUGGGCUUUUCCAGCUUACUAAAGCAUGCGAAUCAGACCAGUUUCAUCAUCUUUUUCAGAUGAGGCAAUAAUUUUUUGUUUCGACACUGGAGAACGCCAUUUGUUGUCAUUCCUCUGUGACUUGUACUCUUUGUCCAUCCCUGAGAAUGAUCUGCCAUUUUCCCCCUGCUGUAAUCCCAAAAUAAUCCAUUCCAUUGUCCCCAUGCUGUUUGAUCUUCGUCUAGCUUCCUAUUGAAGUAGCACACACAGUUUGCUCUAUUAUAAUCACUGGUGCUAGAUAUGAAAAAAAAAAAAAAGAAAAAAAAAAGAAACCAUGCCCACUUAUUUCAGCCUGCGAUCUUAGUCCAAAUACUGUCCACAUUCCUAAAUAAAGAAGAUUUCUAUAGCGUAUGGGUGGAGAAGUGAGAAGAGGGGUUUUGCUGCAAACUAUAAUCUUAUAUUAACGUUAGAUGACUUUGUAUUUAAAAAAGAAGGAAUAUCCUUUCUCAUUAUUUAUUACUACACAUCUGUUUGACAGAUACAAGAUUGUUUUUUUUUUUUUCUUUCCCUUUGACGGUCCAGAAGUUCUGAUGUACUUUCAAGCAGUAAGAUUUAUCUGUUGUUGUUUUCUGCAAUAAAACCUCUACCUCUGGGAAA
Sphaeramia orbicularis (orbiculate cardinalfish) is the source of this 8630-nucleotide RNA transcript. It is a transcript of the gene named zinc finger protein 536, with no coding region annotated. The record is from RefSeq and is a predicted model, not a curated record. NCBI's taxonomy places the organism in Eukaryota, Metazoa, Chordata, Actinopteri, Kurtiformes, Apogonidae. The transcript has 9 exons.